Balaenoptera acutorostrata (minke whale) is the source of this 3619-nucleotide long non-coding RNA. RefSeq lists it as uncharacterized. Lineage: Eukaryota; Metazoa; Chordata; Mammalia; Artiodactyla; Balaenopteridae. The transcript is spliced from 3 exons. The record is from RefSeq and is a predicted model, not a curated record.
CUUUGCUGCGAAUAAAGAUGCUCUUUGGGGCAACCUGGGCAUCCUGGUCUUGGCUGGAAGUUGGGCCUGAGCUGCAGUUUCAUGGAAGCUGCACCAGGGGGGCUGGGGGCUUGUUUGCACUCGUGUCGGGGAGGUGUGUAGAGACCCCCAAGCCAACUAUUGUGGGAAGGGAACUUGGGAUCUAAAUAGCAACUUCCAGGUACCUGAGAGGCAUGACCAGCCCAGGGCACCCUCGGACAUAGGGGGAGAUCUCUGGAUGUACAGGUCUCACUCCGACAAGCAGCUCUAAGACUCUGUAGCCCUGGUCUGUGCUGGCCUGUCCCUGGACAGCUGCCAGGGAGUCCAGCCCUCCCUUCAGGAGAACAGGGGCCGGCUGUGGCUUGACCUGGGAUCUCCUUACCCAGCUUCAUCUCUGUCACAAGCCCACAGAGGCCACAUUCUUGCCCCAUUUUGCAGAUGGGGAGACUGAGGCUCAGAGCAGGUGAUGUGAUGCCCAAGGUCAGGCAGCUGGGCUGGUGAAGAGCUCAAACUCCGAUAUCAGGCUGACCUUGGAUCCUGGCCUCACCGCCCCCCCACGCUGUUCACCCUGGACAGGUCCCUGCCCUGUUUUCUACAGAAGGCAGCUCCUCUGGCCCUUCCUCAAAUCAAGGCUUUGUGAUGGCAGGAGCGGGGAGGGACUGCUCUGGCCUCAGCUGGGGAAUCCCCUCCUCCCACCCUCCCAGGCAGCCUGGGGCAGCCCUCAGUUCCUCUUCCUCAAACUGAGCCCGGACACACACACACCCCCUCCCCCCGCACCUCCCUCCCCCACGCACCUCCCCCUCCCCUCCCCUCCCCCCUCCCGGCCUCCAGCUGCCCCAGCCCCACCCCCCGUGGAUACUUGCUAGGACCUGGGGCUCCUUGUUCCCUAUGACCUUCUCGCUCCCCACUGCUCCACGCUUAGCCCUGUCAACACAUCAGAAAGCAGACAGAGUGGUUUGAAGAGCGUCUCCCUUCCCACCCCUGAGCUGGGGGCAGAAUGCCAGCCCCUCCCGGUCCAGUCACAUACUCAGCGCCCCCAACAGGCUGAAGAGGGCCCCUUCCUCACAGCCCGUACUGGUGCCUGCCCUGUCCUGGGGAGCAACUGGCCAGGGCCUGACCCCAGCUGGGCCUUGCAUGGCCGAGUCAGCAGCGCGGUUUCCAGAGCAGCUGCCCUGGGGGUGUGGCAGUGAUUGGGACAGUGGGAGGGAGAGAGGGCCCCUCACCAUCACACUGACCCCUGUCUGGGGGACACCCCCAGACUCCCCUCAGCACCCACUGUGUGCCAGGCUGGGUGGGGGCAUGGCAGGGGAGAGGGGGUCACAGCAGCACUGCUGCCACCUGUGGGCAGAGGCCAUGGGCCUCCUUCCUGCCAGCGUGAGUCACAGGAGCCUCUGCCCUGGCAGAGCGUGGAGCCCGGGCCCCAGCGCCCCUCCUCCAGCAGCUGGCAUCGCCUCUGCACAGAGCUGGCGGGACCCCGGGGCACAGGUGUGGCCGGGGCAGGUGGAGUCUGCAUCAGAGUUGGGGCCAUCGGUAGGUCACAGCUGGUCCAAACUGUCCCUGCGUGGGUUGGGGGCACCGAGCAGGGGGACAGCAGAGCAGAGGAGCCCAGGGUUGGGGGGCAAGCCCCGCCCCUCCUGGAGCCUCGACCUCCACCUGAGAAAGGGGGAUAAAUGUAAGUGCCGCUGAGUCCCCGGUGCUCUGGGCCUGCAGGGGUCGCAGAGGGGCACAGACUAGCAGCACCUCGGCCCUUUCCUCUUACACAAGAAGCUGAGGGAGGAGGGAAGUUCUCUCUCCUCAGAAGGGGAAGCAGGUCCAGGAGGCCUUACAGGAACCGGGCAGCCUGAUGUCUUCCAUCCGCCGCCCUCAGGGGUGUGCGGGGGGGGGGGGCUCUCCCUCCCCCGAAGAUGAGUCACAGAGCAGAAGAGGUGACCUCCCUUCUCCUGCAGGCACGACUGUGGGCGGCCAUGCCCCACGCUCUGGUGGCAUCAGCGCCCCUCAACCACACGCUGGGCUAGUGGCUGGUUGGGGAGGGUCCUGGCUGGCUCGAGGGGCUCCGUAUCCCCCACUCUGGCCCUCCCAAACUGCCCACCACUUGCGGGCUUUCAAAAAUAACAAGUAAAACCGCAACCACUGGGGCUGCUGGGCGCUCCCCCCGCCGCCCCCGAGCUUCGCUGCUGCCGGCGGGUGAGUGCCGGGGUAGCUGGCCAGAGCAGAGGCUGAGCUAGGUCUUGGAGGGGCUGAGAGGGGUGCCAGGAUGGGGCCCCUCCCUGCUCACUUUAAACAGGCUUCCCUUCAGCUGGGCCAUCACAGCCAACUUCCCCUGAAGAGGCACGUCUGAGCUGCAGUAGGAAGCAGAGUGGGGAGAGGAAGACGUUGCAGGUCUCGGCACAGCCUGGGCAAAGGUGCAGAGGGCUGGUCGCAUCUCCUCAUGGCUCAUCCCAGUGAAAUCCCCAGAUCCUUGCCGAGUGAUCGCUCACUUCCUGUUUGAACGUGGUAGUCACAGCUGAGCCCUAGAUCAGCAGCCGGUGGUCACUGGGAACUUGCUGGGAAUGCAGAUUCCUGGGCCGCCCCAGCCCAUCUAGGACUCCAGCUAAACCUAAGAGGAGACACAGUGCUUGCUGUCCCCACACGGCACCGCAGAAGCACGGAGCCCCAGAUGCCCCGACUCCUGGGUGCUUAUCCCCCCAUCAGAGCUCAUGCAUCCUGGGCCCCCUUCCCCAGAAGCCAGUCAGAACGGAAACCACUGGACCAGGCUGCUGGUGUGCGCUGGAGGCAGAAGCUCCGCCCUGUGCCCCCGUCAGCCCAGGCACUCAUGGUGCCGAGAGCCAGGAACCUCGGCGCCAGCAAUGCCACGGGAGCCUGGUGUCUUCCACGGGGCCUCGCAGUUCCCUCGCCCACCUGCGCACCUGGCAUGCGAGACAAACACUCUCCUGGGCAAACGUGCCUCCCCCAGUUCCACGGGUCCUAAGGGUCUCCCUGUGAGGUGGGCGGUAUGUCGCCUGCCACCCAGGGUGAUGUGCUGGGUUAUGUGGCCUCGGACGACACGGCGCCUUCCCCAGCCCGAUUCUCAAAUGAGAACAAGAGUGAUCCUGCCUCGGCGGGCGGGGGUUGGGUUGCUGCUCAGACCACUGGUAAGGACUCCGGCGAGGCCAGUGGGCGGCGAGGCGCCCGGGGAAGCACCGGGAACCCCGCCUCGGGUUACAGUGGGGACGCAGGAGAUGUUCUUCCUGGAGACACACCAUCCUCCCAUUUGGCCUCCCUGCCCCGCUCCAACAGCCCUGCCCGGGGCCAGGUCUGUCACCUCUCCUGCUGGCCGGAGAAGGGCCCUCCUCACAGCAAUCCGCGUCUCCUCAGGCCCCUCCAGCGCAAGCCCAGACUGCAAAUGAGGCUUUCACGCCGUCGAGACCACCGCUCCCAGCGCCAGCCGCUCUGCACACCUGACGCCCCGCCCCGCCCACCAGGCCCCGCCCCGUCAGGCCCCCUCUCCCGCGAGACUCCGCCCACCCGGGUCGCCCAGGCCCUAGCGGCUCCCGGCACGUGGCCGCCCUGCCCACAGACUUGGGCGGGAGCCAAAACAACUCAGGAAAAGAGGCCUGUUUUU